RNAcentral lists this unclassified non-coding RNA (231 nucleotides) under Hevea brasiliensis (rubber tree). The record is from RNAcentral. Lineage: Eukaryota; Viridiplantae; Streptophyta; Magnoliopsida; Malpighiales; Euphorbiaceae.
AUUAACAGCUGUGACCUGUAGAAGUGAGUAGGUUAGACAUCAGUUGACAACACAUGCCACAAUUUCCAUGGCCAUACUACCCAUUCAGUUUUCAGAAAGUUGAAUUUCCCACACAUGCAUGUGCGCACAUUUGUUUUCAGACUUACCACACAUUAAAUCAUCCAGCUUCCUGCAUUCCCUUAAGAUUUUUAAGAAGUUCAAGAUUUACAUUUACCUUUCCAUUGGAAUCCA